GCUCAACCGUGGAGGGUCAUUGGAAACUGGGAAACUUGAGUGCAGAAGAGGAAAGUGGAAUUCCAUGUGUAGCGGUGAAAUGCGCAGAGAUAUGGAGGAACACCAGUGGCGAAGGCGACUUUCUGGUCUGUAACUGACGCUGAUGUGCGAAAGCGUGGGGAUCAAACAGGAUUAGAUACCCUGGUAGUCCACGCCGUAAACGAUGAGUGCUAAGUGUUAGGGGGUUUCCGCCCCUUAGUGCUGCAGCUAACGCAUUAAGCACUCCGCCUGGGGAGUACGACCGCAAGGUUGAAACUCAAAGGAAUUGGCGGGGACCCGCACAAGCGGUGGAGCAUGUGGUUUAAUUCGAAGCAACGCGAAGAACCUUACCAAAUCUUGACAUCCUUUGAAAACUCUAGAGAUAGAGCCUUCCCCUUCGGGGGACAAAGUGACAGGUGGUGCAUGGUUGUCGUCAGCUCGUGUCGUGAGAUGUUGGGUUAAGUCCCGCAACGAGCGCAACCCUUAAGCUUAGAUGCCAUCAUUAAGUUGGGCACUCUAGGUUGACUGCCGGUGACAAACCGGAGGAAGGUGGGGAUGACGUCAAAUCAUCAUGCCCCUUAUGAUUUGGGCUACACACGUGCUACAAUGGACAAUACAAAG
This 639-nucleotide ribosomal RNA is filed under the name uncultured bacterium. RNAcentral describes it as "bacterial SSU rRNA". It matches the Rfam family "Bacterial small subunit ribosomal RNA", at positions 607 to 1244 of the family's 1533-position model. The record is from RNAcentral.